CCUUCUCACACCCUCUAGGGUAUGGUGAUGGGUGAUACUUUGAGCAAUCAAAGUUCACUUGAAAUGUAUUGGCAUGAGUUUUUGUUUACUGAAAGCACUUGUUUAUCAAUGUAUUAGGUUUAUUCCAUCGUUGAAUUAGCAGUUGUAGCAAGUAGCAAAAUUUUGGCUCUGCCUAACAAACUUUUUUAAUCAUAAAGU
RNAcentral lists this ribosomal RNA (198 nucleotides) under Ogataea salicorniae. The record is from RNAcentral. Lineage: Eukaryota; Fungi; Ascomycota; Pichiomycetes; Pichiales; Pichiaceae.